This 101-nucleotide Y RNA is filed under the name Saimiri boliviensis boliviensis (Bolivian squirrel monkey). RNAcentral's name for it is "Y RNA (ENSSBOG00000015428.1)". It matches the Rfam family "Y RNA". From Rfam's summary of the family: Y RNAs are components of the Ro ribonucleoprotein particle (Ro RNP), in association with Ro60 and La proteins. The record is from Rfam by way of RNAcentral. Lineage: Eukaryota; Metazoa; Chordata; Mammalia; Primates; Cebidae.
GGCUGGUCCAAGUGCAGUGGUGCUGCAACAAAUUGAUCACAACCAUUUACAGAUUUAUUUGUUCCUUUUCUCCUCCCACUGCUCCACUUGACUGGCCUUAA